Small nucleolar RNA from Ornithorhynchus anatinus (platypus), 138 nucleotides. NCBI's taxonomy places the organism in Eukaryota, Metazoa, Chordata, Mammalia, Monotremata, Ornithorhynchidae. The record is from RefSeq and is a predicted model, not a curated record.
CCUCUCUCAGGGUCACACCUGGAGAGUUUCCAGUACUCUACCAGUCUCAACUAUGAGAGGGAGAGUCAAGCAGAGGUAUACCCAUUCCAUUCCUAGCUAGGGCAAUGGCUAGUGAGUGGCAGACCAUCUGCUACAAGU